AUCAUUUGCAACACACACGUGGUAGUGUAACACAAUACCACGUGCUUACUUUGGUGUUUUCCUUCACAAAUAAUGCACGUGUAAUUUAACGGUGCUUACUCGGAUUUCAACCCACGUUCAUCUGCUAAGAUCCAGUAAAUACGUCUCCUAUCAAAUAAUGCAUUCGGCAAUCUUGGAACAACGAAACUGAGAAUAAUAUGUGGAUCGGCGCCAUCUCAAUAAUAUGCACAUUGCAUCUGGGGACACGCUUAUUAUUGGUGCGAUAACCUUUGAUGCACCGUGUGUAAUCAAGCUAUGUAAAUUACUUUAGAAUUUCUUGGAAUAAGCCCUGAGUGAUUAAGUGAAGGCAGAACGAGAGCUAUUUGCAGUCACACUAUUCAAAACGUAUCAUCAAUUAUCACGCCUUAAACGUAUAUAAAUUUCUCUUUUAAACAAGUGUAAACAUUCAUUAACUGAUGUGAAGCGCAGACUUUCAAAUAAUGAGAACAAUACAUUGAAUAUAUUCUGUAAUAUUAAAUGAAAACUGUUAAUGUUGAGUGACAUCAAUUGAGUCAUUAAGAAAAUUUGAUGAUGACGCCCGACUUAGGCCAACCAUAUGCAGCUAGCCAACUGCGUACUACUUGUAAUAGUUCACAAUUGUAUGCACAAGCCACGGAGCACUCACAAUCCAAUAAGACAAACUCGUCACGACCGGAGAAAUUUCUGACGCUGGACCAAGGGCUUUAUGUGCUUUCGAAACGGAACAUACUGCCAACUUACAAACUCUGGACUGCUACUGAGAAUUUGUUGACAAAAAAACUGAAUAAGUUUUUGUUAGCCCAAUCUGGAAUUAAACACAGAAACGCGGAAUAAGAUAGCCAUUACGUGAACGAGGCUUAUAAUAUGUCUUGAAAUUAUUAAUAAAUUAAAAAUCAUAU
Vanessa atalanta (red admiral) is the source of this 917-nucleotide long non-coding RNA. RefSeq lists it as uncharacterized. The record is from RefSeq and is a predicted model, not a curated record. The transcript has 3 exons. NCBI's taxonomy places the organism in Eukaryota, Metazoa, Arthropoda, Insecta, Lepidoptera, Nymphalidae.